This 346-nucleotide unclassified non-coding RNA is filed under the name fungal sp. Its description in RNAcentral is "partial internal transcribed spacer region". The stretch from base 1 to 46 matches the Rfam family "Eukaryotic small subunit ribosomal RNA", at positions 1786 to 1831 of the family's 1831-position model. Lineage: Eukaryota; Fungi. The record is from RNAcentral.
AAGUCGUAACAAGGUUUCCGUAGGUGAACCUGCGGAAGGAUCAUUAACACGUAUCCAAACGUUAAAACAACCCUGAGUAAAUCAGGCGCUAAAGAAUUACAGAUUUUGAUUUUGGGAAGUUCUGUGUGUACGUGGACGCUGCAAUUGAGCGCUAGAUAAAGCACCCUGGUACCCUAGAGCACUCCCCUGUCUGAAAGCGGCAGGGAUCAAUGUUCAGGGUGGCGCAGUCAACGAUCGCUGUAGGUCCACACGAUCGGCGACCGGGGUGGAGGCGAAAGCCCCUACGUCAUCCCUAUGUACCCUCCGGGACUUGCUCCGUCAUAAAUCGAACAACUGUUAACUGCGA